UCGCUACUACCGAUUGAACGGCUUAGUGAAUUAUACGGACCAUUGUAUUGUAGUGGGUUUCCAUUAUUAUACAUGUGGGAAGUAUUGUAAACUUGAUCGUUUAGAGGAAGUAA
Molecule: ribosomal RNA, 113 nt
Filed under: uncultured eukaryote
Lineage: Eukaryota
Description: partial small subunit ribosomal RNA
Rfam family: Eukaryotic small subunit ribosomal RNA
Source: RNAcentral